This 248-nucleotide ribosomal RNA is filed under the name uncultured bacterium. RNAcentral's name for it is "partial 16S ribosomal RNA". It matches the Rfam family "Bacterial small subunit ribosomal RNA", at positions 796 to 1041 of the family's 1533-position model. The record is from RNAcentral.
CAUGCCGUAAACGAUGAUUACUAGGUGUGGGUGGUCUGACCCCAUCCGUGCCGGAGUUAACACAAUAAGUAAUCCACCUGGGGAGUACGACCGCAAGGUUGAAACUCAAAGGAAUUGACGGGGGCCCGCACAAGCAGUGGAGUAUGUGGUUUAAUUCGAAGCAACGCGAAGAACCUUACCAGGUCUUGACAUCUACCGAACCCUGCAGAGAUGCAGGGGUGCCCUUCGGGGAACGGUAAGACAGGUGG